GAGUUUGAUCGUGGCUCAGAUUGAACGCUGGCGGCAUGCCUUACACAUGCAAGUCGAACGGCAGCAUGAUCUAGCUUGCUAGAUUGAUGGCGAGUGGCGAACGGGUGAGUAAUACAUCGGAACGUGCCCUGUAGUGGGGAGUAACUAGUCGAAAGAUUAGCUAAUACCGCCAUACGACCUGAGGGUGAAAGUGGGGGACCGGCAAGGCCUCAUGCUAUAGGAGCGGCCGAUGUCUGAUUAGCUAGUUGGUGGGGUAAAGGCCCACCAAGGCGACGAUCAGUAGCUGGUCUGAGAGGACGAUCAGCCACACUGGGACUGAGACACGGCCCAGACUCCUACGGGAGGCAGCAGUGGGGAAUUUUGGACG
This 367-nucleotide ribosomal RNA is filed under the name uncultured microorganism. RNAcentral's name for it is "bacterial SSU rRNA". It matches the Rfam family "Bacterial small subunit ribosomal RNA", at positions 9 to 370 of the family's 1533-position model. The record is from RNAcentral.